Molecule: ribosomal RNA, 441 nt
Filed under: uncultured bacterium
Lineage: Bacteria
Description: partial 16S ribosomal RNA
Rfam family: Bacterial small subunit ribosomal RNA
Source: RNAcentral
CCUACGGGUGGCAGCAGUGGGGAAUAUUGCACAAUGGUGGAAACCCUGAUGCAGCAACGCCGCGUGAGUGAAGAAGGUUUUCGGAUUGUAAAGCUCUGUUAGCAGGGAAGAGGAAGGACGGUACCUGCAGAGGAAGCGACGGCUAACUACGUGCCAGCAGCCGAGGGAAUACGCAGGUGGCAAGCGUUGAUCGGAAUAACUGGGCGUAAAGGAUGCGUAGGCGGUUAAACAAGUUAUAUGUUAAAUAUAUAGGCUUAACCUGUAGAAAGCAUAUAAAACUGUUUAACUAGAGUGGAAGAGAGGUAAGUGGAAUGCCUAGUGUAGCGGUGAGAUGCGUAGAGAUUAGGAAGAACACCAGUGGCGAAGGCGACUUGCUGGACCGUAACUGACGCUGAGGCAUGAGAGCAUGGGGAGCAAACAGGAUUAGAUACCCGAGUAGUC